UCGACCCUUCUUUGUAUCUGACUGUCUCAGCUCACUAACAUACUUUUUUCCUAAAUGUAAUGGUAUCUGCAACUCCCUCAUUCCAGUAAGCCAAGUGAGCUUAAAGUCACCAUUAUAAAGGCCCCGUUGCCAUGAUCAUAGAAAACACCGGUUAUUUGUAGUUCAACCAAAAUAGUUGUUCAGAGAAGCGAUGGUGAUCGCCUGAAUGUUAGAGUAUUGAUCUUCGCACCACAAGAAUUUUGUGCUACUAUUGUAAACUGAAAAACGGCACAACACAGGCUACAUAUGAUCGAUGAAGGAAGUUUGGAAUUAUAAUUGGAAGUACUGUUUGCAGAAAUCGAGUUUGUGCGUGUCUGAGAGAGAUAUGGUGCUUAGUUUCAAAAAGCAGGUCGUGGGUUCAACCGAUAAAGGUAAAAAAAUGUUCAAUAUGAGUUCCAAUGUUUUAAUCUCAACUCCGCAUUUGUUUAUGAAUAUACCAAUUAUGAAAAUAAUUUAAAAAUCAUAGGUUAAACUCUGGAAGUUGUAUUCCAACAUGGCGAACUUCCGUGUAGGUCCAAACCUUUCCUUCGAAAGUGUUCUUUCUUUGAAACUGCCUAGUACCAAGUGCUUACGUUUAUAUUGAAGCAAGAAAAAAUGUUAUGUUAA
Molecule: long non-coding RNA, 645 nt
Organism: Vigna angularis (adzuki bean)
Lineage: Eukaryota; Viridiplantae; Streptophyta; Magnoliopsida; Fabales; Fabaceae
Exons: 2
Source: RefSeq, a predicted model, not a curated record